GGGACGGAAGCAGGGAGCCUGGGGCUGAGAUUCUGGGCACAGGCCCAGAGGAAAGGAUCCCUCACGCUCCCAUCGUCCCCCCAGGCUUUGGAGAGGGUGGAAAACCCCAGAAGCCAGACCUGAGAGGACUACAGCCUCAGACAUCAGGCCCCGCCACUCAAAACGGCUAUGGACCAGGUAGGAGUGGGG
Cebus imitator (Panamanian white-faced capuchin) is the source of this 189-nucleotide long non-coding RNA. RefSeq lists it as uncharacterized. Lineage: Eukaryota; Metazoa; Chordata; Mammalia; Primates; Cebidae. The record is from RefSeq and is a predicted model, not a curated record. The transcript is spliced from 3 exons.